UGAGGAAUAUUGCCCAAUGGAGGAAACUCUGAGGCGGCGACGCCGCGUGGGUGAAGAAGGCCUUCGGGUCGUAAAGCCCUUUUCCAGGUGACGAGAGAAGGACGGUAGCCUGGGAAUAAGUCUCGGCUAACUACGUGCCAGCAGCCGCGGUAAAACGUAGGAGGCAAGCGUUAUCCGGAGUUACUGGGCGUAAAGCGCGCGCAGGCGGAUGGGUAAGUGGGUUGUGAAAGCGCCCGGCUAAACCGGGCGAGGACAAAUCAGACUGCCUAUCUAGAGUCGGAUAGAGGAGCGUGGAAUUCCGGGUGUAGCGGUGAAAUGUGUAGAGAUCCGGAGGAACACCAGUGGUGCAAACGACGCUCUGGGUCCGAACUGACGCUGAGGCGCGAAAGCGUGGGGAGCGAACGGGAUUAGAGACCCCGGUAGUCCACGCUGUAAACGAUGUCAACUAGGUGUCCACUGGACUACGGUUCAGGGGGUGCCGAAGCUAACGCAAUAAGUUGACCGCCUGGGGAGUACGGUCGCAAGG
This 526-nucleotide ribosomal RNA is filed under the name uncultured bacterium. RNAcentral's name for it is "bacterial SSU rRNA". It matches the Rfam family "Bacterial small subunit ribosomal RNA", at positions 355 to 893 of the family's 1533-position model. The record is from RNAcentral.